This 410-nucleotide ribosomal RNA is filed under the name Verrucomicrobiota bacterium. RNAcentral describes it as "Verrucomicrobia bacterium partial 16S ribosomal RNA". It matches the Rfam family "Bacterial small subunit ribosomal RNA", at positions 355 to 776 of the family's 1533-position model. The record is from RNAcentral. Lineage: Bacteria; Pseudomonadati; Verrucomicrobiota.
UGGGGAAUCUUGCACAAUGGGCGAAAGCCUGAUGCAGCGACGCCGCGUGCGGGAUGAAGGCCUUCGGGUUGUAAACCGCUUUCAGCAGGGACGAGGCCGCAAGGUGACGGUACCUGCAGAAGAAGCCCCGGCUAACUACGUGCCAGCAGCCGCGGUAAUACGUAGGGGGCAAGCGUUAUCCGGAUUCAUUGGGCGUAAAGCGCGCGUAGGCGGUUUGUUAGGUCAGGAGUUAAAUCUGGGGGCUCAACCCCUAUCCGCUCCUGAUACCGGCAGGCUUGAGUCUGGUAGGGGAAGGCGGAAUUCCAAGUGUAGCGGUGAAAUGCGCAGAUAUUUGGAAGAACACCGGUGGCGAAGGCGGCCUUCUGGGCCACGACUGACGCUGGGGCGCGAAAGCUAGGGGAGCGAACAGG